This 400-nucleotide unclassified non-coding RNA is filed under the name uncultured fungus. Its description in RNAcentral is "sequence contains ITS1". The stretch from base 1 to 106 matches the Rfam family "5.8S ribosomal RNA", at positions 50 to 154 of the family's 154-position model. Lineage: Eukaryota; Fungi. The record is from RNAcentral.
GAACUGCGAUAAGUGAUGUGAAUUGCAGACGUAUACGAAUCAUCGAACCCUUGAACGCAUUCUGCGCCUCGAAGCUUGUCUUCGAGGCAUAUCUGGGUGAGUGUCGGUUUAACCUUCUUGCAUAAAUUAAUUAUGCAGUUGUUGAUAGUAAAUCUCUAAAAGUAACCAACGGGGGGUUCGCCCCGAUAACUUGCGGCGAAAUUUUGAUUUUCUAUUAAAAUAAAUCGAUACUCUUGAUUGGAUUCUUUGGGAAUAGAGCAAUCCUCUUCUGAUUGGUUUGAAGUAACUCGUUACUAAUGGUCAUUCUGAAAUGGAUUGUAUUCUUAACCUGAAAAAUCGUAGUCGAAUGGGUACAUGUUGCGUUAAGAAUCUGAUUCUUAAUCAAUCAAACCUUCGACCU